UCCGAAUUGGCGUUAGUAUAUUGGAUAGUAUCCCCGCCUGUCCCGCGGGAGACCGGGGUUCAAUUCCCCGACGGGGAG
This 78-nucleotide transfer RNA is filed under the name Merluccius polli (Benguela hake). RNAcentral's name for it is "tRNA-Asp". The stretch from base 11 to 73 matches the Rfam family "tRNA", at positions 5 to 66 of the family's 71-position model. Rfam says of the family: Transfer RNA (tRNA) molecules are approximately 80 nucleotides in length. Their secondary structure includes four short double-helical elements and three loops (D, anti-codon, and T loops). The record is from RNAcentral. Lineage: Eukaryota; Metazoa; Chordata; Actinopteri; Gadiformes; Merlucciidae.